UAUGGGUGGCUGGUCUCAGAAGAGACCCCAUUUGUAUCACUUUUCUGACUCAGCCACCUGAGA
This 63-nucleotide microRNA precursor is filed under the name Mus musculus (house mouse). RNAcentral's name for it is "microRNA mmu-mir-12178 precursor". The record is from miRBase by way of RNAcentral. Lineage: Eukaryota; Metazoa; Chordata; Mammalia; Rodentia; Muridae.